GUCACCACGCUCAGGCUGAAAAAAUUGCUAUUUUGUCACUCUCAAUGUGGGCUAUUUGCUAUUAUGUCGCCUGUGGGCUGUGGGGUUUGCGCCUGCGGCCUGUCGGCCGCUCCCGUCGUGUACGCGACCUACCUGGACCGGCUCAAUUGUAACGUUAAUGGGCCGAAAAGCUGGCGCUUGGGCCCGACUAGCCCAUCUCCGUCCGUCCCCGUCCCUCACCCGCGACUCCGCGAGCCAACCCGACCACCACUUCCGCCAUGGCCAUGCUCGCUCUCUCCUCCCGCCCCCUCUCCUCCUCCUCCUUCCUCCGCUCGAAGCCGCGCGCGCUCCACCUCCACCGCCACCUCCUCCCCAAACCCCUCGGCUCCGCCUCCCCGCUCACGCCGCCUACUCCCCGCGCCGACCCCGCCCCGGCGCCGGACGCGGACCCCACCCCGCUCUUCCUCCGCCCAGCGUCCCACCGGGUCCCACGCGCCGCCCUCGCCGCGUUCCGCCGCCGCGCGGCCGCGCUCGUCCCGCCCACCGCGCCGCACCUCCACCGCCACCUCCGCUGGCUCCUCGCCGACGCCACCGGGGACCCGUCCGCCGCCACCACCUCGUCCUCCGAAGGCCCAGCGCUCCUCCGCGCGCCGCUCGAGGACCUCGAGGCCCUGUGGCUGCGCCACGUCCGGGAGCGCACGCCGUUCCAGUACGUGGUCGGGAACGAGCACUGGCGGGACCUGGUGGUCGCCGUCAGGGAGGGCGUCCUCAUCCCGCGCCCGGAGACGGAGGCCAUCAUCGACAUGGUGCGCGCCGUGGAGGACUUCGCCGACGGGUGGUGGGCCGACCUCGGCACCGGCAGUGGCGCCAUCGCCGUGGCGCUCGCCAGGGAGCUCGCCGGGCAAGGGAGGGUGUUCGCCACGGAUGUCAGCGAGGUGGCCAUCGACGUUGCGAGGCUCAACGUCCAGAGGAUAAAGUUGAAAUAAGGCAUGGCUCAUGGUUUGAACCUCUGGAAGAUUUGAAAGGAAAACUUAUGGGUGUGAUUAGUAACCCUCCGUACAUACCAACCGACGACCUACCUGGUCUGCAACCUGAGGUUGGUUGGCAUGAACCAAAGUUGGCGCUUGACGGCGGCAAGGAUGGCCUUGAACAUCUGCUGCAUCUCUGUGAAGGGUUAUCCUCAGUUCUGAAACCUGGAGGCUUCUUUGUUUUUGAGACAAAUGGCAACAAACAGUCCGAGCUCCUUGUUGAUUUGAUAAGCACAAAGUGGAGUUGUUCUUUUCACAAUGUCAAAGCAGUUUUAGACUUUGCAGACAUCAAGCGUUUUGUAACGGGAUAUCGAAGAUGAACAAUAAAGCACAGAUGUUUGUGUAAUCAUUUGGAGACAUGUUUUGUUUCCUUCUUACUUAAGGACCUCCCCCAAUUGAAAAAAACGAGAUCAGUCUGGGCUGGCUUGGGCAGAAAGCGAACAACACAUGCAGUUGCCCCCUUUGCAGAGCUCAUCGCUUGGAGUUAAAGCCUGCUGGUGGCAACAAUAUGUCUCAGAGUUAAUCAUAAAUUCAUAUUCGUUAAAAAAAUGUAUCCUCUAGGCAUGCGAGGUAGUAAUAUGUUUGUUUGGCAGAGCCAAGCUGCGCAUCCAACUGCUCAAGAAAGCUCGACGGCAGUAGACGAGAGAGAGUGCUGUGGCAGUUGGGCUUUCAGGAGACUGUAGCUCGUAUGUAUCUGGCCACUAGUUUUCUGGCCGAGUUGGGUGGUGAUUGUGAUUUAAUUAAAGUGGAAGCUUUUGUGCCUGCCUUCCAAAAUUAUUCCGCCGUCCACACGCCACCUUGCGUGUUUCAUUAUUGAUGGCGUGGUCCAGUUUUCUGUUUUUA
RNA transcript from Zea mays, 1850 nucleotides. It is a transcript of the gene named release factor glutamine methyltransferase, with no coding region annotated. The record is from RefSeq and is a predicted model, not a curated record. The transcript has 4 exons. Lineage: Eukaryota; Viridiplantae; Streptophyta; Magnoliopsida; Poales; Poaceae.